GUUUCGGCGAAACAAGUCACCUUUAUCAAGAGCAAUUUGCAGACUGAAGGGAGCCUCUUUUUAAAUGUGUUUAAAGCUCCACCCGUAAGCAUGAUGUAACCAUUGUUAUCCAAUCAGGAAUUAGGGGGCGGAGAAAAGUACCAAGCUCAACAGGAGUGAAGCUAAUUGUAGAUUUAACCCUCACAUAACCAAAAUAUAAAUGGAA
This is a non-coding RNA of Pelobates cultripes (western spadefoot toad), 205 nucleotides long. NCBI's taxonomy places the organism in Eukaryota, Metazoa, Chordata, Amphibia, Anura, Pelobatidae. The record is from the annotation of a GenBank genome assembly.